CCUACGGGGGGCUGCAGUCGAGAAUCUUCCGCAAUGGGCGAAAGCCUGACGGAGCAAUGCCGCGUGCAGGAUGAAGGCCUUCGGGUCGUAAACUGCUGUCACCGGGGAUGAAUAAUGACAGUACCCGGGGAGGAAGUCACGGCUAACUACGGGCCAGCAGCCGCGGUAAUACGUAGGUGAAGAGCGUUGUUCGGAAUUAUUGGGCGUAAAGGGUUCGUAGGAUGUUUAUUAAGAUUGGUGUGAAAUCCCAAGGCUCAACCUUGGAACUGCAUUGAUUACUGAUGAACUAGAGUGUCGUAGAGGAAAGCGGAAUUCCAGGUGUAGCGGUGGAAUGCGUAGAUAUCUGGAAGAACACCGACAGCGAAGGCAGCUUUCUGGGCGAUAACUGACUCUGAGGAACGAAAGCAUGGGGAGCAAACAGGAUUAGAUACCCGGGUAGUC
RNAcentral lists this ribosomal RNA (441 nucleotides) under uncultured bacterium. RNAcentral's name for it is "partial 16S ribosomal RNA". It matches the Rfam family "Bacterial small subunit ribosomal RNA", at positions 338 to 795 of the family's 1533-position model. The record is from RNAcentral.